CAAGAUAAAAAGAGAGUUCUAUGUUAUUACAAUUUCUAAAGAGUAAUAUAAAAGUUAUUUGACUUAAGAAAAGCUUUGUAAAGUCAACUUCUAGUAUCAGAGUCAAUUUCCAUCACAAUAUCUCUUAUUGUUUUAUUUCAAAAUGUCUAACAGCUUGGUCCAGCCUCAAAUUCCAAAAUUAUUGAAAGACAACUAUGAAUGGAGUAUUCAGAUGAAAGCAUUGAUUGAGUCUCAGGACCUAAUGGAGAUUGUAAUAGAUGGGUAAACAGAGUCCACUGCUGAACAAGGAGUUGAGUAUACAGCGGAACAGAAAUGUAAGACACCAACUUUAUAAAUAAAGAUGAAUUUUCUAUAAAUAUCAUUUUUAAAUACUAUGGAGUGAAUUUAAUAUAAUGUUAUAGCUGUGGAUAAUAUUUAUAAUUUUGCAAAUUACGCAAGUUGUCAUAAAAUAUUCGAUUGGUCGGAGAAUAUUCGUUUUAACAAGAAAUAUUCAUACGACGGCACAAUCAUUGGUGGACCCCACAACGGAAGUAUUGUCGUAGUUAGAAAACAACAGAAUUAUCUUUUUAUAAAAAUAACGGCGAAAGUGUUACCGUUAAAACUGUUGAACUACUCGGUAGUAAAAGUACAGUAAUAUGCGUGGUUGCAUAGUAGCACACGGUAUUGAUUAUUGAUGCUUACGUAAGAAGUCACUCAGUUAUACUCAAUAAUUGUUACAGUAAUUACUGUUCAAUAUUUUAUUUUAUUGAUUCAAUAAUUGCUGCGUUCAUAUUUUAUAUUAUUGGUGUUUCAAUAAUUGUCACUGCACAGUAUUUUUCAUUAUCAAAUCAAUAAUUCAUAUUAUUUGAAUAAUAUUAUUAGAUAGCAUUAUUGGCAAUGCUAGAAAGUUCUGUCAAUGAGAGGUUUGGUCACCUAAUUGCGUGCCAGUAAGGAGAAAUCUUUAUCGGAAAGCCUCCUCUUUCCUGGGAACGGCCUGGUUGUCAUUAUUGUGAUUCUGUAAUAAUAUUUGUGAAUAAUUAAUUAUUGAUUUAUAUGAUAAGGAAAUAUUUAUUUUAUGUAGACAUAAAUGAUGGAUAGGAAAAUAUUUAUUUUAUGUGGUUAUAAAUGAAGGAAUUAAUGUUGAGGUAUUUUAUCAGUAUUUUGUCGGAUUGGAGGUAUUAAAAAAUCAAAUCGGUGUUAUUAAAGCUCGAUUGCGUGAGUUAUAAUUUUAAUCCGACCGUUGAAUCGUUGUAAUUUUUGGAUAUGUUAUACAUAUAUAAGUUGAGUAUAUUUCCACAAAUUUUGAACCGUUAAAAAUUAACGUAUGAUUUGUUAUGAAUUUUAAAAGGUGUUAAAAAUCAUCCGUUUGUGAAUUUCAGAUAUUUUCUGUAUGGAAUUUGGAAAAACUUAAAGCUAUAAAGUUGUAGAGAAUUUGAUUUCGUGUGGAAUGGACAUAAAAUUCGUAUUUUUCUGAUAAAAGGGCUAUUUAUUAUGAAUUACUGAAGUUUCAGAAAAUAAAAUAAUUUUUAUUAAAAUUAGGUGCGACCCACUUUUGGUUGUUGGGAAAGAUGGCUGAUCAUUGGUGGGCCCCACUUGUGGUGGCUGAAAUUUUUCAAAAAAGCAUGCGUAGAAAAAAAAAUUAAAUUAAUAUUUUAUUAAUUUAGUCUCAUUUGGCGUUCUAGCAUUUUCCUAUAAAUAGGGUGCUUAGUUAGAAUUGAAAAUCACACCAGAAUCAGAAAAUUCUUCUUCUAUAAUCUUGAGCGUAUUUCUUUAGAGUUUUAGAAAGCUUUGAGCGUAGAAAACAGUGAAAAUUUUCUUCAAGAAUAUCCCCGCUAUACCAGUUGGAAUACUCUUCUUUUCAAGGUAAGGGAUGUUAUUUUUGUUCAAUAUUCGCUUGAAAUAAUAUUUUCUUCCAUACUCUGUAGUAUGUAAGUAAUAUUAUUUCGUUUCAGAUUUCAAAUUCUAUACUCGUUUUGUUAAAAUUUUGGCUUCUAUACUCCAUGAAAUUAGUAAAAUAUCCUUGAUAUUUGCGCUUCAUCCAGUAUCUUUUCAUGAAAAUAUUAUUCUGAGCAUUCUUGAUAAGUUUUAACUUUUUCAUGCCGGAGUACUAUUCACAGGAUUACUAUUCCUAAAGUACUAUUCACGGGGUAUUAUUCACUCGAGUACUAUUCACCCGGGGUACUAUUCAUGAUAAAAAUUGAUUCAUUUUCGGUCCAAAUUAUUUUUGGUAUAAUAUUAUUCUUGAAUUUUACUCCACAAAGCAGUAUCAUGUUGACAAUUUGGACGUUAUUGAUUUCUGGAUAAAUUAAAUUAUAAUCUUUAAAAAUUUAUCCUUGAACUUGUUUUAUUGAAUUUUUAUAUCAUUGUCAUCAUCCUCAUGUUUAUAUUCUGUUGAAAGUUAUCUGUGGCUUGUAGUGCAUAGAUGGACUUGGUAUGAUUAUGACCAGGGAUUAUUCGGUAUAAUCAUGACCGUAAUGUUACAAAUGAUGUGGUAAAAGUUUUCAUUGGCCUGUAGUGCAUCGAUGGACAGUUGUGUAUGGAUAAUUUGUGGUCGUGAUACUAAAGAAUAUCUUUGGCCGUAGUGCAAGGGUGAUUCGAUGAUGUGGAUUAUUUAUUAAGCUGAGUCUCAGCAAUAAAAGUGAUGAAAAACCUUUUAAAUCAUAGAAGGUAGUAAAUUUUAUUCUCUACUUGACUCUUCUAAUGGAUUGCUUGUUCCGAUGUAGUUAAACUUGAUGUUUGUUAUAUUUUAUCAGUUUAACACUGUUGAAGGCUAAUGAUAAUUUAUCCUGCAUUAUCUUAGUCAUAGUAUUUAUUACUGGCUAGUUGAGCUCACCCUUUUGAUUUCAUUGUCCUCUUCAGGAAAUGAGAACGUAGCCGGGACUAGGCGGGGAACGACGUGACGUUCCAGAUGAUAGCAUUAGUAGUCUUCACUAUUCUAUAAAAUAGUGUGAUAAUAAAUGUAUUGAGGACUCCAUUUGGGUUGAAUACUAUCUAGAAGACAAUAUUCGUAUUAAAAUUUCCAGUUUAUGUUUUGUCGUAUUUUACACGAUAGUUGUAUUAUUAAGUUGUAUUUGAAUUUUGUACCACGUAUUUGGCGACUCAAGAUGGGUGAUGUAUACCUAUUUUGGGGGCGUCACAGUUGGUAUCAAAGCUUAGGGAUAUGAUCUCUGGCUGAGUUGUGAGACAAGAUCUAGGAGGGGAGAGACGGGGAAUUCCUUCGUUAGUAUGACCUACCUAAGUUUAUUUGGUAUUUAAUUGGUCGGUCAGAGUAUAAGGAUAAUAUGUGACAUGUAAAUUAACCCUUGUUUUGUGGCAGUAUUUGAAAAUGACAUCUGAGAAUGUUGAGAAUAGCAAUGAAGCACAAGAGACCGUUGAGUCUCCACAGAUCAACAAUCAGGAUAAUGUGCAUCAGGAAGGCAAUAAUCCUCAUGCAAACAAUAACAUAGACCAAAUGAUGAACGAGGGAAUGUUCAGAGGCUUUCUGCAAUUCAUGCAACAUCAGGCAAGAGAGACUCCUGUCCGAAAUGCAGGUGGAAACACUGGCAACUCUCGAACGGUCACUGCUAAACAGUUCAAGGAGCUGGGACCAUUAGAGUUUUUUGAAAAGCCAAAACCACUUAAUGCGGAGACAUGGAUAAAGCAGAUCAACAAGAUAUUUGAUGUAUUGGGAUGCUCCGAGGAGCAAAAGGUUCCCUUUGCCACCUUCAUGUUGCGGGCAGAGACAGAUUACUGGUGGGACUCUAUAAAGCGUACUCAACCUGCCAUACUGAAGAUGUCUUGGGAAAAGUUCCAAGAACUGUUCAACAACAAGUACUUUCCCGAAAGUAUUCGUCACAUGAAAGAGGUAGAGUUUAUUAAACUGUAGCAAAACAACAUGACCGUGUCGCAAUACGAAGCCAAGUUUGCCGAGUUGUCCCGGUUUGCGUCCUAUUUAGUUGAUAAUGAAGAGAGAAUGACGCGAAUGUUUCUAAGAUGUUUGAAACCCGAGAUACGUAAAUACCUUAUCUCUCAUAAACUGUGUUUGUAUUCAGAUGUUGUGAAUAGGGCUCAGUUAUUAGAGCGCGAUAAUGAGUCAACCUAACCAAGAGAGAGCAACCGGAAAAAUGAUAAUACCAGUGGUAGCAGUCAUCGAAGUGGUGACAACAAGCGUGGAAGGAAUUAACAGGCCAGAAAUGGUAACCACUUCGGUGAUAAUCAUGGCUAAGAUAAUAAGAAUGGAAAUUUCAAGAAGAGGAGAUUCAACAAUUAUGGAAAGACGUCAGCAUCAGCACCCGUUGUUAAGGAAGGAGAACGACCACCUAUCAUAUGCUUCAAAUACGGAGGGGAGGGACAUAUCAGUCCAAACUGCGCGAUACAGUCCAAAGCGUGUUACAAUUGUGGAAGAGAAGGUCACCUAGCCCGAUUUUGUCAUUCACCGAAGACAAGUCCAGCUGGGAUGGAGGCACUAAAGGCCGUCCCAGAAAAGUCAAAGCUGGUAGUUCAAGGGAGAACAUUUUCCGUGACAUCCCAGAAAGCAAGAAACCCGAACGAGGUCAUCACGGGUAAGCUUAUCAUAAACUCUAGCGAAGUUUAUACCUUAUUUGAUAUCGGUUCUACCCAUUCUUUUAUUUCUCCUAGUUGCGCUCAACGUUUAAAUUUGACUCUGCAGAAAUUAGACUUUGACUUAUCUGUUGAAACUCUGUUGGGAGAAACCUUCAUUACAUCCAUUGUUUAUAAGUCUUGUUUGGUUCAAAUCGGUACCCUCACAUUAACUGUCGAUCUUAUUUCAUUGAAAAUACUUGCAUUUGACAUAAUUCUAGGGAUUGAUUGGUUAACUACUCAUCAUGCAAAAAUUGAUUAUAUUCGUAAGGUUGUUAGCUUUAAUAUUCCUAACCAACCUAUUAUGAGAAUUCAAGCAACCAAACCAUUAAAAUCAAUCACUGUCAUCUCAAGAUUCUUCUUCUCAUUAUAUAUACGUGCACAUGACAUAUAUAUUUUGCAUCAAUCCAAAUUGAACACCAAAUCUCAACCCCCAGAUACACAAUUGCUAGCUCAAAGGAAAAAAAAAUAUGAAAUGAAAAAAGUGCUUCUUUAAGGAUUUUCAUCGCCUAAACUAAUAAGAGCAGCUUCAUCAUGAUAAUAAUUCAACCAAUCACCUCUGCUGCCCCAUCAUCUUCGUGA
RNAcentral lists this long non-coding RNA (5139 nucleotides) under Panax ginseng (ginseng). Its description in RNAcentral is "long non-coding RNA (PGIN_LNC004906)". The record is from RNAcentral. Lineage: Eukaryota; Viridiplantae; Streptophyta; Magnoliopsida; Apiales; Araliaceae.